UCAAGCAAUAAGGGCACAGGGCGGAUGCCUUGGCACUAAGAGCCGAUGAAAGACGUGAUAAGCUGCGAUAAGCUUCGGGGAGGAGCAAAUAUCCAUUGAUCCGGAGAUGUCUGAAUGGGGAAACCCACAUGAGCAAACCUCAUGUAUCCAUACGCCAAUCCAUAACGUAUGGAAGGGAACCCGGGGAACUGAAACAUCUAAGUACCCGGAGGAAAAGAAAGAAAACUCGAUUCCGUAAGUAGCGGCGAGCGAACGCGGAGGAGCCUAAACCGGAAUGCGUGCAUUCCGGGGUUACGGACUGCAUUUAAGAUUCUUUGAAGCUAACAGAACGGUUUUGGGAAAGCCGGCCGGAGAGGGUGAAAGCCCCGUACGUGAAAGCUGAUGAGACUGAGCAGGAUCCAGAGUACCACGAGACACGUGGAACCUUGUGGGAAAUCAGGGGGACCACCCCCUAAGGCUAAAUACUACUUAGUGACCGAUAGCGCAUAGUACUGUGAAGGAAAGGUGAAAAGGACCCCGGGAGGGGAGUGAAAGAGAACCUGAAACCAUAUGUUUACAAGCUGUGGAACAUCUUUAUAUGAUGAACCGCGUACUUUUUGUAGAACGGUCCGGCGAGUUACGCUGGCUGGCGAGGUUAAGGGCUGAAGGCCCGGAGCCGAAGGGAAACCAAGUCUGAACAGGGCGAAAUAGUCAGUCGGAGUAGACCCGAAACCGGGUGAUCUAUCCAUGUCCAGGUUGAAGUUGCCGUAAAAGGCAAUGGAGGACCGAACCCACAUCCGUUGAAAAGGGUGGGGAUGAGGUGUGGAUAGGGGAGAAAUUCCAAUCGAACCCGGAGAUAGCUGGUUCUCCUCGAAAUAGCUUUAGGGCUAGCCUCGAUACAGAUUUGCGGAGGUAGAGCACUGAAUUUCCUAGGGGGCGUCAAAGCCUACCGAAGAAUAUCAAACUCCGAAUGCCGCGUAAUCGAUUAUCGGGAGUCAGACUGCACGAGAUAAGUUGGGCGGUCAAAAGGGAAAGAGCCCAGACCUUCAGUUAAGGUCCCCAAGUGCGCGUUAAGUGGAAAAGGAUGUGGGAUUUCGAAGACAACCAGGAUGUUGGCUCAGAAGCAGCCAUCCAUUCAAAGAGUGCGUAAUAGCUCACUGGUCGAGAGGUCCUGCGCCGAAAAUGUCCGGGGCUGAAACGCGCCACCGAAACUAAGGAACCGAAAGGUUGGUAGAGGAGCAUUGCAUGCGGGAAGAAGCAGUACCGUAAGGAGCUGUGGACUGCAUGGAAGAGAGAAUGCCGGAAUGAGUAGCGAGAUAGAGGUGGGAAUCCUCUAGGCCGAAUAUCCAAGGUUUCCAGAGUAAAGCUGAUCUGCUCUGGGUAAGUCGGGGCCUAAGGCGAGGACGAGAGUCGUAGCCGAUGGACAACAGGUGGAGAUUCCUGUACUGCGGUAUGACAGAACUGUGGGGACACGUAAGGAAAGCGGAAGCCGGGAAUGGAAAGCCCGGUGCAAGCGGGGUACCAGUCACUUUGGCAAAUCCGGGUGGCAAUGGGAAGCCGUGAUGCGGAGCGAAAUAAAGUAGCGAAGUCCGUGAGCCAUGCGUCAAGAAAAGCCGCUAUUGUUUAUACCGUACCCGUACCGUAAACCGACACAGGUGGAUGAGGAGAGAAUCCUAAGGCCGGCGGAAGAAGCAUUGUCAAGGAACUCGGCAAAAUGGCCCCGUAACUUAGGGAUAAGGGGUGCCUGGGAAACCAGGCCGCAGAGAAUAGGCUCAAGCAACUGUUUAGCAAAAACACAGGUCUAUGCGAAACCGAAAGGUGAGGUAUAUGGGCUGACGCCUGCCCGGUGCUGGAAGGUUAAGAGGAGAGGUUAGCGCAAGCGAAGCUUUGAAUUUAAGCCCCAGUAAACGGCGGCCGUAACUAUAACGGUCCUAAGGUAGCGAAAUUCCUUGUCGGGUAAGUUCCGACCC
Molecule: ribosomal RNA, 1949 nt
Filed under: human gut metagenome
Description: bacterial LSU rRNA
Rfam family: Bacterial large subunit ribosomal RNA
Source: RNAcentral